Molecule: long non-coding RNA, 896 nt
Organism: Drosophila mojavensis
Lineage: Eukaryota; Metazoa; Arthropoda; Insecta; Diptera; Drosophilidae
Exons: 4
Source: RefSeq, a predicted model, not a curated record
CGACAUUAGAGCUGGGAAACCAUCGAUGCAACCAUCGAUUAUAUCGAUGGACUUUAAUCUUUAUGAUAUAUCGAUGGACUUUUGUCGAUAUCGAUAUAUCGCCGCUUUGAGUAACAAAUCAAACACAUAUAGUUGACAAACAUAGCAUACGGACAUUGUUAAACAUUGGUAGUUCCUCUUCAACAUGGACAAGUUUGUCGUUUCAAAUAAAACCUGCAAUGCCUCCACUGCAAUUGCAUCUUCAAAUGCAUUAACUGAAUCCAAUGAGCCUAGCACGAAACGAAAAAAAAGCACAUCAGAAGUUUGGUCACAUUUUGAGAAACUCAUGAAGAUGCUUGCCAAAUGCCGUCAUUGCGGAAAAGAGUACCGCACGAGCGGCAACACUUCCAAUAUGAUGGAACACUUAAGACGUGUACAUCCGUUCGUGGUAAGAGACCACGUUGAAACAACUGCUCCAUUCAUCUCAUGACAUCGAUCCGCUACAAUUUUGGAAGAUUAACGAACACCAAUUAAAUGCACUCAGCUGUUGUGCUAUUAUUCCAGCUAGCUCUGUGGAAAGUGAGCGAAUUUUUAGCAAGGCGGGUGAAUUGAUUUCUGACCGCCGGGAGUCUUUGAAAGAAAAAAAAAGGCCAAUCAAUUGAUUUUUUUUUUAACAAAAAUGAAUGGCUGUUCCCUGAAAACAACGAGACUAAUAUUUUAGUAUUAUCUUAUUUUUGUAAAUAUUGAAUAUUUACUAUAUCUUUAUUAAUUUGUUAUAUUUUUAUUUUUUAAUUUGUCGAUAAGAAAGAAAAUAGGUCUCUUUUAUAUUUAAGUUAUCUUUAAAAUCGUUAUGUUGAAUUUGUGUUAUGUUUUGGACAUGAAAAUUUAAUGAAUUAAACUUUUAUAUUUUCUCUAUA